This 253-nucleotide ribosomal RNA is filed under the name uncultured bacterium. RNAcentral's name for it is "partial 16S ribosomal RNA". It matches the Rfam family "Bacterial small subunit ribosomal RNA", at positions 524 to 776 of the family's 1533-position model. The record is from RNAcentral.
UACGUAGGGUGCAGGCGUUAAUCGGAAUUACUGGGCGUAAGGCGUGCGCAGGCGGUUUCUUAAGUCAGAUGUGAAAGCCCCGGGCUUAACCUGGGAACUGCGUUUGAAACUGGGAGACUUGAGUGUGGCAGAGGGGGGUGGAAUUCCACGUGUAGCAGUGAAAUGCGUAGAUAUGUGGAGGAACACCAAUGGCGAAGGCAGCCCCCUGGGUCAACACUGACGCUCAUGCACGAAAGCGUGGGGAGCAAACAGG